GCCUGGGUCCUGCCCUGCUUUCCUUUCCUGCAGUAAACGUUUGAUCUGCCCUCAUCCUACAGCUGUAGCGUUACACCACGAUGAGAAGGAUAUUAUAUCAGUUUGUUCAUGUAAUGCCAGUAAGAGUUUAACCUCAAGCGCCGUAAAAGACCUAGAGAGGGAGGGAGACUGAGUGAAUUUUUAAAUUUGAAAGUACUUUCAGUCUCCUCUUGGGCUUUUAUUUUGUUAACCAUAACAGACAGGAAGUGCAAAUCACAUUUAGAGUAUAACGAAGACCAGAAGCCAGCCACCGUCAUACCACUGGUUUCUCCUGGAAGUUAGUGGGAUCAAGCACUGAGACAUCUGCGGGAAUAAAUGCGAUUGGCCUGGUCAGAGGAAUUGCACAUGAUGGGAUGAGUAUGCUAAGUAACCAGGUCAGGAUGAAAGCGCUUCUGCUCCAGCUGCCGCUUCUCCAGGAACACAACGCAGUGUCUCUUAAUUAGGCCUGGGUGGCCGUCGCGUUCAGAAGGUUUGGCUCCAGUCCGGUGCGGCCUGUCAAAGUCC
Long non-coding RNA from Gambusia affinis (western mosquitofish), 543 nucleotides. RefSeq lists it as uncharacterized. The record is from RefSeq and is a predicted model, not a curated record. The transcript has 3 exons. Lineage: Eukaryota; Metazoa; Chordata; Actinopteri; Cyprinodontiformes; Poeciliidae.